UGGACAAUGGGGGGAACCCUGAUCCAGCCAUGCCGCGUGUGUGAAGAAGGCCUUUUGGUUGUAAAGCACUUUAAGCGAGGAGGAGGCUUACCUGGUUAAUACCUGGGAUAAGUGGACGUUACUCGCAGAAUAAGCACCGGCUAACUCUGUGCCAGCAGCCGCGGUAAUACAGAGGGUGCGAGCGUUAAUCGGAUUUACUGGGCGUAAAGCGUGCGUAGGCGGCUUUUUAAGUCGGAUGUGAAAUCCCCGAGCUUAACUUGGGAAUUGCAUUCGAUACUGGGAAGCUAGAGUAUGGGAGAGGAUGGUAGAAUUCCAGGUGUAGCGGUGAAAUGCGUAGAGAUCUGGAGGAAUACCGAUGGCGAAGGCAGCCCCCUGGACAAAGACUGACGCUGAGGUACGAAAGCAUGGGGAGCAAACAGGAUUAGAUACCCUGGUAGUCCAUGCCGUAAACGAUGUCUACUAGCCGUUGGGGCCUUUGAGGCUUUAGUGGCGCAGCUAACGCGAUAAGUAGACCGCCUGGGGAGUAC
Molecule: ribosomal RNA, 527 nt
Filed under: uncultured bacterium
Lineage: Bacteria
Description: bacterial SSU rRNA
Rfam family: Bacterial small subunit ribosomal RNA
Source: RNAcentral